This 74-nucleotide transfer RNA is filed under the name Okeania sp. SIO2F4. RNAcentral describes it as "tRNA-Pro". It matches the Rfam family "tRNA". Rfam says of the family: Transfer RNA (tRNA) molecules are approximately 80 nucleotides in length. Their secondary structure includes four short double-helical elements and three loops (D, anti-codon, and T loops). The record is from RNAcentral. Lineage: Bacteria; Bacillati; Cyanobacteriota; Cyanophyceae; Oscillatoriales; Microcoleaceae.
CGGGAUGUAGCGCUGCUUGGUAUUGCACCUCGUUUGGGGCGAGGCGGUCGUAGGUUCAAAUCCUGCCAUCCCAA